CUAAUUUUAAUUUUUGUAUUAAUUUAUUAAUUAAUCUAAUUAAUAUAUUUAAAUCAUUAUCUACUGCUUAAAGAGUUAAGUAAUCAAUUAAUUUAUCAUUUAUGGUUAAUUAACUCAUUAAAAAUUAAUUAUUUAAUCUGUUUAUCUAAUAAAUAAUAUUUAUAUUGCUCAGCUAAUUAAUAUUUUGACUAAUUAAAUUAAUUUUCUUAACAAAUCAUCUAACUAAUUAAAUAAUUUACUAAUUAAUUAAAAAGUUAAGUUAUAUUUUAUAAUUGAUUAAAUAAUUAAUGUAAUUAGUUAAUUCAUUAAUAUUUUUUUAUUAUCUUAUGCAAUAUUCAUAGCUAAUAAUUUUUUAAUUUAUUAAAUUAUUUUUAACUAAUAUUUUAAUAGCAAUUAAUUAGAUAAAAUAUUAUUAAUUUAAAAUUAUAAUUACUUUUGUUCUCGCUAUUCCAAUCAAAUCAUCUAAACACUAUUAUCUUAUUCCUGCAAACAAUCUAAUUUUCACCCAAACGAGAAAUUAUUCUUAUUCCUACUUAUUUUUUAAAUUGUACCUACAAUAAAAAAAGGUGUAUAGCGACAUUUUUAAAUGUUGGUACAUGUCAAAAAAAGUGUUGCUGGUUAAAUUACCGACACUUUUUAAAGGUAUUGCUAUAUGUGAGGUCGCUAUAUAUAAGACCGUCUUGAUGUUUGGCACCCACUCCUUCAACGACCUGCGGCAAAGAGACAUGUGGCAAUUGUAGUCCUCUACAGUCCCUGCGAGAUCCUCGCGGCCGAACUCCAGCCGCCGGAACCUUAUCCCGUCGGCUGCGGCGGCGGAGGAGGAGAAGGGGCCAGAGAUGGUGAUCAAUUUUUUUUUUUCUUUUCUAUUUGUAAUCAGACCGAGUGGGCUGGAUGGGGUUGGUUAAGUAGAGAAACUUUUUGUUUGUGAUUGGAUUGGGUUUUAGAUUUAGGUCUUAAUAGAUUUUUUAAAAAAGUUUGACAUAAAUGAUACACUUAUAUAAAAAUGUUCUAAAAAUAUAUCUCUAUAAUCUAAUUCUGUUGUAGUAAAUAAGUAAUUUUUGUUUAUUCCU
RNAcentral lists this long non-coding RNA (1070 nucleotides) under Ananas comosus (pineapple). Its description in RNAcentral is "long non-coding RNA (ACOM_LNC007774)". The record is from RNAcentral. Lineage: Eukaryota; Viridiplantae; Streptophyta; Magnoliopsida; Poales; Bromeliaceae.